GUUGAUUCGGGCAAAGAGUCUCGAUGGGCCGUGUCCUGUACAGUCACACACAUGACUUAAUCUGAUUCUUCGAAAAAGUUCAAAUAGGAAAAUUCAGUGGUUCUAGAAUCCAAGUUCUGAGGACUGUUGGACAGUCCCUUGGCAACAAAAGCAACUUCUAUGUUGUUUCGAACGUUAGAUAUACAUAUACAAUACUAAUACUUACAGUACAGUAAUUGGCAUUGAGAUGUGGAUAAGUAUUUUGAUUUGGACGACACGUGCAUGUUACACUGUUUAAAAUUGGCUGUACAUAUUUAUAUACAGUGGACAAAUAUAUUAUGAGUGCCUUA
Cephus cinctus (wheat stem sawfly) is the source of this 329-nucleotide long non-coding RNA. RefSeq lists it as uncharacterized. The transcript is spliced from 2 exons. The record is from RefSeq and is a predicted model, not a curated record. Lineage: Eukaryota; Metazoa; Arthropoda; Insecta; Hymenoptera; Cephidae.